This 401-nucleotide non-coding RNA is filed under the name Stegodyphus mimosarum. Its description in RNAcentral is "eukaryotic small subunit ribosomal RNA". It matches the Rfam family "Eukaryotic small subunit ribosomal RNA", at positions 42 to 433 of the family's 1831-position model. The record is from Rfam by way of RNAcentral. Lineage: Eukaryota; Metazoa; Arthropoda; Arachnida; Araneae; Eresidae.
GAUUAAGCCAUGCAUGUCUAAGUGCAUGCCAUAUUAAGGCGAAAUCGCGAAAGGUCAUUAAAUCAGUUAUGGUGCCUUGGAUCGUGCCUUACUACUAGGAUAACUGUGGCAAUUCUAGAGCUAAUACUUGCAGCAGAGUUCCGACCCUCCGGGGACGAGCGCUUUUAUUAUACCAAAACGAAUCGAACCUCGUUUCCGUAUUAUAAGGUGACUCUUCAUAACUUUGGGGUGAUCGCACUGGCUCGUCCGGGCAACAUAUAUUUCAAGUGUCUGCCUUAUGAAUUGUCCAUGGUAGGUUACGCGCCUACCAUGGUCGUAACGGGUGAUGGGGAAUCAGGUUUCGAUUCCGGAGAGAGAGCCUGAGAAACGGCUACCUACAUCCAAGGAAUGCAUCGCAGGGC